UGGGGAAUCUUCCGCAAUGGACGAAAGUCUGACGGAGCAACGCCGCGUGAGUGAUGACGGCCUUCGGGUUGUAAAGCUCUGUUAAUCGGGACGAAUGGUUCUUGUGCGAAUAGUGCAAGGAUUUGACGGUACCGGAAUAGAAAGCCACGGCUAACUACGUGCCCGCAGCCGCGGUAAUACGUAGGUGGCAAGCGUUGUCCGGAAUUAUUGGGCGUAAAGCGCGCGCAGGCGGAUUGGUCAGUCUGUCUUAAAAGUUCGGGGCUUAACCCCGUGAUGGGAUGGAAACUUGCAAUCUAGAGUAUCGGAGAGGAAAGUGGAAUUCCUAGUGUAGCGGUGAAAUGCGUAGAUAUUAGGAAGAACACCAGUGGCGAAGGCGACUUUCUGGACGAAAACUGACGCUGAGGCGCGAAAGCCAGGGGAGCGAACGGG
Molecule: ribosomal RNA, 429 nt
Filed under: bacterium
Lineage: Bacteria
Description: partial 16S ribosomal RNA
Rfam family: Bacterial small subunit ribosomal RNA
Source: RNAcentral